CCAUAUUAUGUUAAAACGCUGGUUCUCAUAUGAUUACCAAAGUUAAGCAAUAUUAAGCCUGGUCAGUACCUAGAUGGGUGACUGCUUGACAAUACCAGGUGCUGUAAG
This is a non-coding RNA of Acanthosepion pharaonis, 108 nucleotides long. Lineage: Eukaryota; Metazoa; Mollusca; Cephalopoda; Sepiida; Sepiidae. The record is from the annotation of a GenBank genome assembly.